UACAGAGGGUGCGAGCGUUGUUCGGAAUUACUGGGCGUAAAGCGCGCGCAGGCGGCCCUUUAAGUCCGUCGGUCAAAUGCCGGGGCUCAACCCCGAUGCAUGCCGAGGAUACUGGAGGGCUGGAGACACGUAGAGGCAAGCGGAAUUCCGGGUGUAGCGGUGGAAUGCGUAGAGAUCCGGAAGAACACCGGAGGCGAAGGCGGCUUGCUGGGCGUGAUCUGACGCUGAGGCGCGACAGCGUGGGGAGCAAACAGG
Molecule: ribosomal RNA, 255 nt
Filed under: uncultured bacterium
Lineage: Bacteria
Description: partial 16S ribosomal RNA
Rfam family: Bacterial small subunit ribosomal RNA
Source: RNAcentral